UACGUAGGGUGCGAGCGUUGUCCGGAAUUACUGGGCGUAAAGAGCUCGUAGGUGGUUUGUCGCGUUGUUCGUGAAAACUCACAGCUUAACUGUGGGCCUGCAGCCGAUACGGGCAGGCUAGAGUUCGGUAGGGGAGACUGGAAUUCCUGGUGUAGCGGUGAAAUGCGCAGAUAUCAGGAGGAACACCGAUGGCGAAGGCAGGUCUCUGGGCCGAUACUGACGCUGAGGAGCGAAAGCGUGGGGAGCGAACAGG
RNAcentral lists this ribosomal RNA (253 nucleotides) under uncultured bacterium. RNAcentral's name for it is "partial 16S ribosomal RNA". It matches the Rfam family "Bacterial small subunit ribosomal RNA", at positions 524 to 776 of the family's 1533-position model. The record is from RNAcentral.